UACGUAGGGGGCAGGCGUUGUCCGGAUUUAUUGGGCGUAAAGAGCGUGUAGGCGGCCAAGCAGGUCCGCUGUGAAAACUCGAGGCUCAACCUCGAGACGUCGGUGGAAACCGUUUGGCUAGAGUCCGGAAGAGGAGAGUGGAAUUCCCGGUGUAGCGGUGAAAUGCGCAGAUAUCAGGAGGAACACCAAUGGCGAAGGCAGCUCGCUGGGACGUGACUGACGCUGAGACGCGAAAGCGUGGGGAGCAAACAGG
This 253-nucleotide ribosomal RNA is filed under the name uncultured bacterium. Its description in RNAcentral is "partial 16S ribosomal RNA". It matches the Rfam family "Bacterial small subunit ribosomal RNA", at positions 524 to 776 of the family's 1533-position model. The record is from RNAcentral.